RNAcentral lists this transfer RNA (75 nucleotides) under Candidatus Levybacteria bacterium RIFCSPLOWO2_01_FULL_39_10. RNAcentral describes it as "tRNA-Lys". It matches the Rfam family "tRNA". Rfam says of the family: Transfer RNA (tRNA) molecules are approximately 80 nucleotides in length. Their secondary structure includes four short double-helical elements and three loops (D, anti-codon, and T loops). The record is from RNAcentral. Lineage: Bacteria; Candidatus Levyibacteriota.
GGGCCGUUAGCUCAGUGGUAGAGCAGGAGCCUUUUAAGCUCUUGGUCGUGGGUUCGAAUCCCUCACGGCUCACCA